RNAcentral lists this long non-coding RNA (1435 nucleotides) under Mytilus galloprovincialis (Mediterranean mussel). The record is from RNAcentral. Lineage: Eukaryota; Metazoa; Mollusca; Bivalvia; Mytilida; Mytilidae.
GCACAUUACAUUUUAGUGAAGAGAACCCAUAUGUGUUUAAAUAACUAAACAUUUAACAUGCUGACCUCUUAGUUUUAACUGUCAAUGAAAUUGUUUCAAACUUAUAAGCUUUGUCAUUAUUGUAGAAUAUAGCAAACCGACCUGGUAUUGACCUGGUGUUGUCCGACUUUCAUUAUCAUUAAACAAAUUAUUCGACAAGCUCAAAUGAGACACAUGCAAUCCAAAAAUUUCUCGACAUUGUAUUCAGGGAAACAUACAAACUAUAGGUUUUUACACUUUUUCAUUUAGUUUUGAAAUUGGCAAAUUUCUUUGAAUGUUGAUAAAGGUUGCAAUAUGUGAUAAAACUAUAAUGACCAGACCCCUGUUUACCAAGUGAAUUAAUAACUGAUUUUGUUUUGUUUUAAAAAAAUGGCAUUCAUGCAAUGUGCACUUAACUACAAGAAAGGGUUAAAUUUCUUAAACCCAUAUUUCUGCUGUAAAUUGGUUACCAAUGCGAAAUUCCCUUACCCGAUUUUUCUUUUAAUAAGUUACAUGUACCUCGAAAUAUUUGUCUUCCUUUGAGAAGAAAGAAAGAUCCAUAGUUGUCGACAACAAUCAUUUACAGUAAGAUUACAAUUUUAUAAACAUGUUAACAAAGAUCCACUUUUCUUAAUCAACAUUUUAUUGUGGGACAAAGGUAAUGAUUGUAAAGAGUUUAAAUGUUUCAUUGCACUUUGUUGAAAAUGGAUAUACAAAUAUAUCAUUCACAUUCAGUGAAUAUAACUGCUAGACAGUAUAUGACCAAAUGACAACGUUCUCGAUAGGAUGGUACUCUGGUAUUUCAAUCUUUGUGUCUCAUAUUUUGCAUACACCACCCACAAUGCAUAAGCAAUUGCAUAAUAAUCCUCGCAAAAACACAAAAUAAAAAUAGCAAAAUAAGCAAAAACAAUUGCAAUACAAAAAACAAACAAAAACAAAAACAAAACAAAAAACAAAACAUUUUGUAUCUUUAGAAAUAUAAUGUCUCUGCUAAUGAGGAAUUUUAUUUACACAAAAGAAAGUUUUCACAACACUUAAAACGAGUUUAUAUGUUUUGUGUUUAAAAUCUAUACUAAAAAUAUAUAUUUUCAGUUCAGUUCGAAAAAUGGAGUCUGUUAUAUAUUAAAUUAAGACGGCAUGGUCUCACAAAGUUCGUGUUUCAAGAUGUUUUAUUCUGGUAUUCAUGACAUCAAAUAUACUUCAAUAUUUACAAAUAAUCAUCAUUACUGCUUCAUCGAUCCGAACGUCUUCCGACGGAAUAAAGCCUGUACACAUCAUGUUAGUUAACUGUUUUAAAUCUAAACCAGUUUGCAUAUCGUAGGAUUGAUACAGCAAGUCUUCGCUCCAGAUGAAGAUUGUUCACAUCAUAAAUGUUUAUUAUUGAGAGUAUCGUUUGUUUUAGGAUACACACCUAUUU